GCUUAACCGGAGAAGUGCAUCGGAAACUGGGAGACUUGAGUGCAGAAGAGGACAGUGGAACUCCAUGUGUAGCGGUGGAAUGCGUAGAUAUAUGGAAGAACACCAGUGGCGAAGGCGGCUGUCUAGUCUGUAACUGACGCUGAGGCUCGAAAGCAUGGGUAGCGAACAGGAUUAGAUACCCUGGUAGUCCAUGCCGUAAACGAUGAGUGCUAAGUGUUGGAGGGUUUCCGCCCUUCAGUGCUGCAGCUAACGCAUUAAGCACUCCGCCUGGGGAGUACGACCGCAAGGUUGAAACUCAAAGGAAUUGACGGGGGCCCGCACAAGCGGUGGAGCAUGUGGUUUAAUUCGAAGCUACGCGAAGAACCUUACCAGGUCUUGACAUCUUCUGCCAAUCUUAGAGAUAAGACGUUCCCUUCGGGGACAGAAUGACAGGUGGUGCAUGGUUGUCGUCAGCUCGUGUCGUGAGAUGUUGGGUUAAGUCCCGCAACGAGCGCAACCCUUAUUAUCAGUUGCCAGCAUUCAGUUGGGCACUCUGGUGAGACUGCCGGUGACAAACCGGAGGAAGGUGGGGAUGACGUCAAAUCAUCAUGCCCCUUAUGACCUGGGCUACACACGUGCUGCAAUGGACGGUACAACG
This 637-nucleotide ribosomal RNA is filed under the name uncultured bacterium. RNAcentral describes it as "bacterial SSU rRNA". It matches the Rfam family "Bacterial small subunit ribosomal RNA", at positions 607 to 1244 of the family's 1533-position model. The record is from RNAcentral.